CAGGGCGUAGCUACAACACAAAGCAUUCAGCUUACACCUGAAAGACAUCUGCUACCCCAGAUCACCCUGA
This 70-nucleotide transfer RNA is filed under the name Ara tricolor (Cuban red macaw). RNAcentral's name for it is "tRNA-Val". Lineage: Eukaryota; Metazoa; Chordata; Aves; Psittaciformes; Psittacidae. The record is from RNAcentral.